This 354-nucleotide ribosomal RNA is filed under the name uncultured bacterium. Its description in RNAcentral is "partial 16S ribosomal RNA". It matches the Rfam family "Bacterial small subunit ribosomal RNA", at positions 338 to 688 of the family's 1533-position model. The record is from RNAcentral.
CCUACGGGAGGCAGCAGUAAGGAAUAUUGGACAAUGCCCGGAAGGGUGAUCCAGCCAUGCCGCGUGCAGGAAGAAGGCCCUAUGGGUUGUAAACUGCUUUUGCAGUGGAGAAAACCCUCUGACGCGAUUGGAGGUUGCUAGUACACUGCGAAUAAGCAUCGGCUAACUUCGUGCCAGCAGCCGCGGUAAGACGAAGGAUGCGAGCGUUAUCCGGAUUUACUGGGUUUAAAGGGUGCGUAGGCGGAUAUAUAAGUCAGUGGUAAAAGGUCGUGGCUUAACCACGGUAAAGCCAUUGAUACUGUAUAUCUUGAGUACACUGGGGGUAUGUGGAAUAUGGCAUGUAGCGGUAAAAUG